Molecule: long non-coding RNA, 1636 nt
Organism: Alligator mississippiensis (American alligator)
Lineage: Eukaryota; Metazoa; Chordata; Crocodylia; Alligatoridae
Exons: 3
Source: RefSeq, a predicted model, not a curated record
GGGUGUUUCCUUCAGGGUUCUCUCCCCCGGCAGCUCCCUCCACAGAGUUGCUUCCCUUAGGCCCGGUCUCCCUUGCUUCCUCAGUGCCUCCGGCUCUCCCUGCCAUCUCACUGCCUGAGUCAGUCUCUUCUGGUUUCCCGUGUUCCUCUUUUUCUUGCCCCACAUCUCCUUUUACACCAGGUGAAGAAGGAGCCCUGAAGAGUUCUUUGCAAUACAGCUCAUUUUAUUCGGAAAUAUAUUUAGACCACACAAUUCAAGAAGUUUCUGUACCUCCAAAAAUAAUUCUACAAAAUAACUUUAAGUUGAAGGGCCAGUUCCUGUGAAGCCUCAAUGAAACUGCUCAAUCAAGAUCUCCACUGUGUGCGCAGUAAUAGUAAAAACAUUAUAUUUCAUUUUGAAUGUGACUGAAAAUAAUGCCUACAUUAUAAUCCCAUAAUUUCACUUAUUUUCCACAAAGACAUCAUAUACAGAUAUAUGAUACAGAUAGAUGUUUUAUGUACUAAGUAAGUAAAAUAAUACAUAUGAACUCAGUUCUGGUCUCUGUCUCCAAAGGAACAUUUGAAAAAAUUGGCAAGUAUGGAACCAGUGUCCUACUAAAAUAGACUGAGAACCAUGUGGUGAUUUACCUUAGAAAGAAAAUACAUAAGAAGGAUGUGUAAAAGUAAACACAAUAGUGAAUGGCUAAGAAAAGUUAGGUCAGGAACUUGAGUAAAACCUGUCUCAGAAUACAAGAAAAAGGAAGAUCCAAUGAGGAUUAAAGGCAGAAAAACUGAAAAUGAUAAAAGGAAUUUCUUUUGCAUCUAGCUCACACAAUUUGACUGUGGAACACACAGCCACAAAAUAUAACAGAGACCAAGACAUAAGGGGAUCUGGAGGGGAAAAAAAUCCCCAGCCAUUUACAUGCAUGUAAGUUGUGAUAAAAAGUCAUAGAACUUUAUACAAAGUGUGUAAUCAUUUGUGGCUGAUUCCCAUCACACCUUUGAUUGAACAGAUGGCCAUAGUCCCUGAUAUGAUGGGGCUCCACUGGGGGAGCACACGGUGUGCCUCCACAGCUGGGAGCUCUAAACAUCUGAUCGGGGUUACCCAGCCAGGGUAGUGCAGGGAGCCAAGCUUGCUACUUGCCAAUGCAAGGGGAGGCCAGGAUAGGGCUCCCUCUGCACCAGCAAUAUGAUUUAAUGGGACCUGAUUUGGAAUCCCACCAAUCAUGCCUUCUGCCAUGCACAUGUGGCAUGGCAGGAAGGAUGAUUGUUGGGAUCCUGCAUCACAUACCAUUAGGCCAUUUACUUCAGUGUCUAUCAAGGGCCUAUCAGAGAUACUGAACUAGAUCUAGUAUUUGCUCUGAUCCAGUUUGUUCUUUUUAAAAAUAUGCAUAAGUGUUUAUUACAUUCCCAGGAAUGCUCCAUGUAUAGCCACUGUUCAUAGUUCCCAGUCACUGGCCUAUUAGGGAUUCUGUGAUAAAGAACCACUGUAACUGGAAUAGACUAUUUGCUUUGUUUGUAGCUGACACAUACUGGGUUUCAGCAUUUGUUAUAUAGUUAUAUACUAUUCUCUUGGUCUUUUCCUUCCUUAGCAUGUGCUACUCAAGUGCUCUCUCUUAUGUAAACUAGGAUGUCACAUAUUAAAGACCACUUGUGGU